Molecule: ribosomal RNA, 466 nt
Filed under: uncultured bacterium
Lineage: Bacteria
Description: partial 16S ribosomal RNA
Rfam family: Bacterial small subunit ribosomal RNA
Source: RNAcentral
GACGAACGCUGGCGGCGUGCUUAACACAUGCCAGUCGAACGGAAAGGCCCUGCCUUUGUGGGGUGCUCGAGUGGCGAACGGGUGAGUAACACGUGAGUAACCUGCCCUUGACUUUGGGAUAACUUCAGGAAACUGGGGCUAAUACCGGAUAGGAGCUCCUGCUGCAUGGUGGGGGUUGGAAAGUUUCGGCGGUUGGGGAUGGACUCGCGGCUUAUCAGCUUGUUGGUGGGGUAGUGGCUUACCAAGGCUUUGACGGGUAGCCGGCCUGAGAGGGUGACCGGCCACAUUGGGACUGAGAUACGGCCCAGACUCCUACGGGAGGCAGCAGUGGGGAAUAUUGCACAAUGGGCGGAAGCCUGAUGCAGCAACGCCGCGUGCGGGAUGACGGCCUUCGGGGUGUAAACCGCUUUCGCCUGUGACGAAGCGUGAGUGACGGUAAUGGGUAAAGAAGCACCGGCUAACUACG